GCCCGGUUAGCUCAAUCGGUAGAGGUUAGUUCUUCCACCACGAAUAUUCACUACUCAACACGGUAUACUAACUUAUUCACAGCGUGAGACUCUUAAUCUCAAGGUUGCGGGUUCGACCCCCGCAUCGGGCU
Molecule: non-coding RNA, 131 nt
Organism: Hypoxylon sp. CI-4A
Lineage: Eukaryota; Fungi; Ascomycota; Sordariomycetes; Xylariales; Hypoxylaceae
Source: the annotation of a GenBank genome assembly